RNAcentral lists this ribosomal RNA (468 nucleotides) under uncultured bacterium. RNAcentral's name for it is "partial 16S ribosomal RNA". It matches the Rfam family "Bacterial small subunit ribosomal RNA", at positions 28 to 507 of the family's 1533-position model. The record is from RNAcentral.
GACGAACGCUGGCGGCGUGCUUAACACAUGCAAGUCGAACGGAAAGGCCCUGCUUUUGUGGGGUGCUCGAGUGGCGAACGGGUGAGUAACACGUGAGUAACCUGCCCUUGACUUUGGGAUAACUUCAGGAAACUGGGGCUAAUACCGGAUAGGAGCUCCUGCUGCAUGGGGGGGGUUGGAAAGAUUCGGCGGUUGGGGAUGGACUGGCGGCUUAUCAGCUUGUUGGUGGGGUAGUGGCUUACCAAGGCUUUGACGGGUAGCCGGCCUGAGAGGGUGACCGGCCACAUUGGGACUGAGAUACGGCCCAGACUCCUACGGGAGGCAGCAGUGGGGAAUAUUGCACAAUGGGCGGAAGCCUGAUGCAGCAACGCCGCGUGCGGGAUGACGGCCUUCGGGUUGUAAACCGCUUUCGCCUGUGACGAAGCGUGAGUGACGGUAAUGGGUAAAGAAGCACCGGCUAACUACGUG